Zophobas morio is the source of this 1312-nucleotide RNA transcript. It is a transcript of the gene named ethanolamine-phosphate cytidylyltransferase-like, with no coding region annotated. The record is from RefSeq and is a predicted model, not a curated record. NCBI's taxonomy places the organism in Eukaryota, Metazoa, Arthropoda, Insecta, Coleoptera, Tenebrionidae. The transcript has 11 exons.
AACUUGUGUAUAUGCAUCCCUUUAGCCGCAAAAUUUGAAGUCGCUUGACUUACAAGAGUUAUGUGGAGAACAUGCAUUAUCCCUAGUUGAAAAAAUGAAAGAACAAGUUGAUAUGGUUUUUUAAAAAUUAUUAUUUUACUAAAGAAGAAUUUAAAAAAAAUAAAGAGCUUCUGGAAAAAAUGGAUGUACUUUGGGAAAAAAGAAUUUUCGUGUUUGAAUGGACGGAGCUUUCGACUUAAUUCAUUGCGGCCAUAUAAAUUCUUUUCGUCAAGCAGAAGCAAUUUGGAUCGUUUUUGUAAUAAACUCGGAUCAGUCUCUCUUUGGAAAUAAAGGAACCCCCCCCAUUGAGAGAACCACUGUUGGGUUUGGCUGUAAGUUUGUGGAUGCCUUGGAGAUUAAAUUCCGUACAUAAUGAACGAGGAAUACUUGGAGCAAAUAUUCCCUAAGUAUAACCUCGGCUACGUAGUACAUGGCGACCAUGCCUGCUUGGUCAACGGAAAGGAUGUGUAUGCAGCUACAAAAAAUGGGGAAAAAACAAAACAACUCCCCUCACUGAAGGAAUUUCAACGACGGAUCUCGUUGGCAUAACGCUGCAUUGAAGUACAGAAGACCAUUACCCUUCCGGAAUCUCAGCGCCUAUUCGGUGAAAACCGAAACAACAGGAUUCCGGGUUACCAUGCAGAUAUCCCCUUUGCCUUCUUCGGAUUUUCGGCCUCCAAUGGAAGAAGACACUAUUGUGUACGUCCUUGGUAUACAAAUUUAGUACAACUCCCAUAAGACACGAAUGAAGCAGUUAAAGGUCGAUGGGACUUGUUUCACGCAGGACAUUUUAGUAUACAAAUCAGGUCAUCAGGUAUCACAGCGGAGAAGGUUACCCUAUCACCAACCUCCAGGAAAGAGCCCUGUCCGUUCUGGGUUGCAGGUACGUUAAGGAUAUACUGAUUGGCUCGCCUUGGUCGGUAACAGCAGACAUGAUAGUUGUAUUAAAAGUAGAUUUCUUCAUUGCUGGAACGGUGAGGUCGCUAGAAGGCAGUGCUUUAAAAGACGAGAGGAAUUUGGCAACUAAAGAGGCAGGCAAGUUUGCCCUUCUGGAGAGCGAGUCGGUAGGUAGGUGCUUAGUAAUUACAACCCAAGUUCCAUUUUUUAAACAUAGUAGCUGGCGGUGUAUGUAAUUGUCCGCAGAAUAGAAUGUAGAAAGGAAGAACUCGGAAAGAAACAUGAAGAAAAGAUAAAGCGGGAAGAGGAAUACUACAACACACGUUACAAACGAACAGAGUUUUAACCUUUACCACAUAAUAAAACAUUUAAAGCG